AUUACAUUGUUCUGGGUAUUGUCAAGUUUGCUUUGACAGUCUUGCUAAAAUUUCAUUAUGGACUGUUAUUAUUUGAAAUGUAAAAAAACAAUGUUGGAUUAAUUAAUGCUCUUAAAAAUUCAACUCAGUUUCAAAUGUAAAUCUGAAAGAAAAUGGUUUGCUACACUAAUAAGUAAUAACAUUGGAUAUUUAGAUUUUCAUACCUACUCAUAGGAUGUAGCUCAAAGAAAAAUGUUAAUUUUUUUAAAAGAUAACUGUCACACAAUCCAUGAUUUAUGUAAAAAAUGUUUUUUGAGAAAUGUAGGUACAGUUAAGGUUUUUUUACAAAUACGUGUAGAAUGUAGAUUAUAGCCAUUAAUUUUAAUACAGGAUGAUUCAGAUAAGA
Molecule: long non-coding RNA, 385 nt
Organism: Tribolium castaneum (red flour beetle)
Lineage: Eukaryota; Metazoa; Arthropoda; Insecta; Coleoptera; Tenebrionidae
Exons: 3
Source: RefSeq, a predicted model, not a curated record